AGCGCACCUUCGGGUGAGCGGCGGACGGGUUAGUAACGCGUGGGAACGUGCCCUUUUCUGCGGAAUAGCCACUGGAAACGGUGAGUAAUACCGCAUACGCCCUUCGGGGGAAAGAUUUAUCGGAGAAGGAUCGGCCCGCGUUAGAUUAGGUAGUUGGUGGGGUAAUGGCCUACCAAGCCUACGAUCUAUAGCUGGUUUGAGAGGAUGAUCAGCAACACUGGGACUGAGACACGGCCCAGACUCCUACGGGAGGCAGCAGUGGGGAAUCUUAGACAAUGGGGGCAACCCUGAUCUAGCCAUGCCGCGUGAGUGAUGAAGGCCUUAGGGUCGUAAAGCUCUUUCGCUGGGGAUGAUAAUGACAGUACCCAGUAAAGAAACCCCGGCUAACUCCGUGCCAGCAGCCGCGGUAAUACGGAGGGGGUUAGCGUUGUUCGGAAUUACUGGGCGUAAAGCGCACGUAGGCGGACUGGAAAGUUAGAGGUGAAAUCCCGGGGCUCAACCCCGGAACUGCCUUUAAAACUAUCAGUCUAGAGUUCGAGAGAGGUGAGUGGAAUUCCGAGUGUAGAGGUGAAAUUCGUAGAUAUUCGGAGGAACACCAGUGGCGAAGGCGGCUCACUGGC
Molecule: ribosomal RNA, 620 nt
Filed under: uncultured bacterium
Lineage: Bacteria
Description: bacterial SSU rRNA
Rfam family: Bacterial small subunit ribosomal RNA
Source: RNAcentral